GGUUUAAUUCGAUGCAACGCGUAAGAACCUUACCAGGGUUUGACAUCCUGCGAAUCUUUUGGAAACAGAAGAGUGCCUUCGGGAACGCAGAGACAGGUGGUGCAUGGCUGUCGUCAGCUCGUGUCGUGAGAUGUUGGGUUAAGUCCCGCAACGAGCGCAACCCACGUCUUUAGUUGCCAGCAUUCAGUUGGGCACUCUAGAGAGACCGCCGGUGAUAAACCGGAGGAAGGUGUGGAUGACGUCAAGUCAUCAUGCCCCUUACAUCCUGGGCUACACACGUACUACAAUGCUACGGACAAAGGGCAGCAAACUCGCGAGAGCUAGCAAAUCCCAUAAACCGUGGCUCAGUUCAGAUCGUAGGCUGCAACUCGCCUACGUGAAGGAGGAAUCGCUAGUAAUCGCAGGUCAGCAUACUGCGGUGAAUACGUUCCCGGGCCUU
This 439-nucleotide ribosomal RNA is filed under the name uncultured Synechococcus sp. RNAcentral's name for it is "bacterial SSU rRNA". It matches the Rfam family "Bacterial small subunit ribosomal RNA", at positions 943 to 1382 of the family's 1533-position model. Lineage: Bacteria; Bacillati; Cyanobacteriota; Cyanophyceae; Synechococcales; Synechococcaceae. The record is from RNAcentral.